GUUUUGUUUUUUUAUUUCCUUGUACAAUUGGAAUAAAGAGAAAUGUUUCAGAUUGAUUGUUACACGUGAAAUUGUUUAAAUAGAAUUUGUUGGAAAAAGGAACGUUGCAAAAAAGGUUAAGAUUCGUGUAUAUCAAUGAUUAAGGUUAUUGCAGAAUCUUUUGUUUGUUUUCAUCGUUCGAUAUUUAUGAUUAUAAUUGAUCGUUUAUAAUGAGAUGAAUGAUAUCCUCGAACUUGACACGAUUUUUCGCGAGAACGUUGUCUCGUACAGUGUACACAUACGUAGAUACAUACGUUGAUCACUAUGCAACUGACAAUACUCGUUAGUCAGACCUUCGACGAGGUGAUGCUAAUCGAAUGUUUUUCUACAUACCUUGUUACCAAUAUCAUCUUUGGCUAUGAUAUCCCAAUCGAUGGUGUCAACAUAACAAAGCGCUGGAUUCUUUUCGAAACGAACCGAACCACGUAGAAUAUCAGUCAAUGAAUGAAGACCAAUUUCUUGUAGGUGCAUCAUCUCAAAUGCAACUAGAGCAUAAUUGAUAAAUAAAGAAUGACCUCGAAUCACUGUCAGAUUUGGAAAGAGACGGCCGACGCUUCGUAGUCCAUUUACUCUGAAAAUUCAUAUAUUUUCUUUUCAUAUAUUUUUUACCAUUUAUCAGAAAAAAAAGUAUAUAUAUAUAUAUAAUUCGUUUUUUUUAUAUUCGAAUAAACACAUUAAAUAAAUAAACAAAUAUACAUAUAUAUAUAUAUAUAUAUAUAUAUAUAUAUAUAUGUAUAUUGUGUAAAGUUCAUAUACGCAGUAUACGCGUGUGAGUGUGUAUAUAUCAGAAAGAAAAAAAUAAAUAAAUAAACGAGAUAAAAGAAGUGAAAUAUUCGUAAUCGUUUGUACAAGAGUGUCAAUGAAAAACUUGUAAGUUGUAAAAGUCGUGCAACGACUCCAUCCUGCUCUCGUUCCGUGAGAUCGUAAAAAAAAAAGAAGGAUGGAGAGGAAGAAAAAAGAAAAUAAAUAAAAGAACAAAAAAGAAUGAAAGAAAGAACGAGAGAAAGAAAAGAAGGGAAAAGGGGAGGAAAAGAACAAAAAACAAAUAAAUAAAUAAUGAACGAAAGAACGAAAGAAAGAAAGAAAAAAGAGGGGAAAAAAAACUGAAAAAAAGAGGCAGAAGCCGCGAUAAUAACAAGCCGCGUGCCUGAGAACGAGUUUAGUGACCUGAGAAAGGGGUUGGAACCGAGUGAAACGUCUACUUCGUUCUACUCGACCUUUUAUAACUUCUCGAUCGUUGCAUACCACCUUCUCGUGGGAGAAGUGGGAAAAGAAAUAAGAAAACUACUGGGGGAGAAAACUACUCGUGAAAAUUUGAUAUCGGGGAGAAAAGCACUCGUUGCAUUAAAUUUUAUAUUAAAAACAAAAA
Vespula vulgaris is the source of this 1408-nucleotide long non-coding RNA. RefSeq lists it as uncharacterized. The record is from RefSeq and is a predicted model, not a curated record. Lineage: Eukaryota; Metazoa; Arthropoda; Insecta; Hymenoptera; Vespidae. The transcript has 2 exons.